ACUUAAAUAGUUUAAUUAAAAUUUUGGUUUGUGGUAUCAGAGAUGUAAUUAUAUAUAUAUUACUUUAAGUU
Molecule: transfer RNA, 71 nt
Filed under: Balta sp. Cairns, Australia
Lineage: Eukaryota; Metazoa; Arthropoda; Insecta; Blattodea; Pseudophyllodromiidae
Description: tRNA-His
Source: RNAcentral